GUCAGACCUAGGCUCUCGCAGAGAACUGCAUCGCGCUCCCAGCUCUGCUGCCUCGGUGCGGGGACGGGGCUCUGCAUGAGGACUGGGAAUGUAAGUCCCGGGCCUGGACAGGCGCCCCUGGGAGCUAGCCUGGAGGAGAUUCAGUAGAAGGCUGAGGAGUCGGCUUGGAGGGUCUCGGCAAGGCGGCGCGGAUGGAGAUGAAGCUGCGAAGAAUGCUGAGAAAGAGCGGCCGGGGGCCUUGGAGGGAAGCUAGGGAAACGCUGCGGGGGCAGCCGAGGCCGUCGGCGCCCCGGGAGAAGAGAAAAGCAGCCUGAUUCGGAGGAACGGGUUGCUUGGGGCGGCUCCCAGCUCGAGUUGUGGGCCCCGCCGCGGGUGCCCUUCGGAAACGCGCUGACACCAGGCGAAGCCGCCUCUGCCCGGACGCAGCCCGACACUUGGCCCGCGGGGUUCCCCGGGACGCCUGAGAGUAAUGGGCGCGAGGGGGAAAGCCGAACGGCCUCCCUGUGCCCGGCGCAGGCGGUGCCCCCUAGCUGGGUUCGCCGCGGCGGCGCUGCGAGCCCCCGACAC
This 567-nucleotide long non-coding RNA is filed under the name Homo sapiens (human). RNAcentral describes it as "non-protein coding LINC00092:10". Lineage: Eukaryota; Metazoa; Chordata; Mammalia; Primates; Hominidae. The record is from RNAcentral.